CGCCCCCGCCGCCGCGCCUCCUCCUCCCCCUCCUGGCCUGGGUGAAACCCGAGCGCCCCACCCCGCGCCCGACCUCCCUGGGCCCCUCCCACUUCCCCAGACGCGCCCCCCUCGGCGCCCAGGGCGUCCCCCUGCACCCCAAGAGCCCCACUCCUGCGUCCCUAGUGCGAGUGCGCCCGAGUAUUGACUUUCAGGGACUCCCUUCCCUCGCCUCCCGGGGACCUUCUGUGGCUCCCCCGCCCCCCGUCCCGCCGCUCAGACGUGGCUGCUGGAGGGGCGGGGGCGCGGUAUAAAGGACCAGAGGCAGCGGGGGCCGGGAUCCGAGACGUGGCGCGCCCACUCUGCCGGCCUCGGCUCCAGGUGUUUGGAACACCCGUGAUGAUGUCUACAGGUGAUGCUGUGGUCCUCCCCAAAUUCUGACAGAUGAAGAAUCGCCAAGUCGGGAGAGUUCAGGGAGUCAUCAGCCCCUAACGAAGUCCUUGAGCUUCACCAGAAACUCUUUAGGGUUCUUUCCCCCUCAAGAAACACUCACUCCCCGUUUAGCGUUUAGUAGCAGCUGGCAGAGGUGAGCAGGCCAAUUUUAUUCAAAAAGAGCAGCCCAGAAAGUAAGACAAAAUAAGAAGGAAAUAGUUAUGGCACAUCUGAGAAGAGCGUAAAUGGGCACGGUACCAAGUGCGGCUUCCUGGACCUUAAACGGAAGUUACCCGAUCAACCACGUGGGCACCCACUCUCCAGCCCUCCGCCAGUCUGUGCACUGGACACUCCAUCACGUCCCCUCCUCUGAAUUCUGAGCUUCCACCCAAGUCCAUCCAGGGCUGCCUUGAGCUUCUCGUGUCUUGUCAGAGAAACAUGCUUUGCCAUUGCCAGUUAUUCCAUAGAGGUUGAAACAGAGCGACCUGGCCCUCUCCCAACCCAAGUGAGCUCUGCUCACCUCUGAACUCUUGAACUCACUCCACAGGUGAAAACCACCUUUGCCUACCUCGCAGCCAUGUUCCAUGGCUCCAUGUUCCAGGGAGCAGCUGCUUAAAGUCUACCCACUAGGAGCCACAGCGGGAACUCCAGGAGACAACCAGAGCAUGUAUUCAACAAAAAGUUCUCACUUACUUUUUCUUAGAAAAGUUUAGUAAUUCAUCUCACUUUCAGUAACGGCCUAUUAAUAAAAGACGUUGUAUUUUACUCAAGCUGUGUUCCAGAAGACCAAAAUAUUCUAGAAAUCUAGAAGUAUUUUGCCUUCUCUUUAUGGUUAAAUUUCUAGAUAUAUUUUUCUAGCAACCCAGUUUCCUUAAAAUAAAAUCAGUCUGCUCAAAACACCUCAAGUCAUCUUUUUGUAAGUAUGAUUUGGGGAGAAAAAAUGCUAGGUUUAAAAGAUUUUUGGAAUACCUAGAGAACAUGCAGAUGGUUUGUGGCAUGGAGAUAAAGCAUCCAUAUGGUUCCCUAAGUGUUAUUUUCUGACAUUGAGUCUUGUAUAUAUCUUGAGCGUCUGUAAGCAAAGAAGGCUGUACUUUUUUAAAAAGAUAUGUUUGAUACUUAUUAAUCAAUGUCCUCUAUAUUCCUGUCUUUGGAAAUAGAGCUUUGGGGGGAAGUAAAUACCUUAGGAGAUAUAUUCUCAAAAAUAAUUUUCUUCCAACAUAGAUUUAGAAAUACAAAUUAGUCUGUCUUGGUUUAUUCCAUCAUUUACCGGGGAGAUUAACUCAUAAUGACCUUGAGUUCACUGGGAAGAGCAUCUACUAAGUGAAAUUAAACCAGUAGGCAAAGUGUCUCUGGCAGCAAAUCAGUGGGAAGAUGAGCUGUCAAGGAUCCUGUAGCCCAUCCGUCAAAUUGCAUUUCAGAC
This 1831-nucleotide long non-coding RNA is filed under the name Equus caballus (horse). RNAcentral describes it as "lncRNA (ENSECAG00000046296.1)". Lineage: Eukaryota; Metazoa; Chordata; Mammalia; Perissodactyla; Equidae. The record is from RNAcentral.